CCCUGUACCUGUCCUGGACUGGCCCCAAGCAAUGUGUCUGGAGCUAUGUAGUUGUGGGUCUGGCCAGUAUUUGGAUGGGAGACCAGCUAGGAACACUGGGCUGCUGCUGGGA
This 112-nucleotide ribosomal RNA is filed under the name Paramormyrops kingsleyae. Lineage: Eukaryota; Metazoa; Chordata; Actinopteri; Osteoglossiformes; Mormyridae. The record is from RNAcentral.